AAAAAAUUAACCAGUUAUAUCAAAAUUUAACCUAUAUUUAAUUGAACUCUUUCAUGAACAAAUUUUUUACUCUAACAAAUGAACUAUUGCCUAAUGUGGUAAGAAAUAUUGAAUUAGUUGUAUGGGUAUUUUAUUUUUGUUGUUUUGGGAAUUUGCGAGGAACACCAUUUCACAAUAUUGAACUUUUACUAAAUUUUACUAUAACAAAAAAAAACCUUUUGGGUACCUCCAACAUUUUGGAGAAAAUCAGCGAAAUUAGCGCGAUAACACCUAUUUUUAAGGUUUACUCGAGAAACCUCUCGAAUAUAAUCAAUCAUUGUUUAAAUGAUGCAUAUAAACUGUUACUUCCGAAUCAGAUCAGAAAAUUCCAAAAUUUAACUUAUUAUAGUCGACCGUUUUGCAUUUCACUCAAAACAAUCUUAAUUCAAUGACGAUGUUCAAAAUAACAUCAACUUAACUUACUGAUGGUGUUCCCAACAUUGAGCCUCUACUGUACCAGUCGGAAUGAAACGGAGUGAAACGAUAAGUUUUUACAAUUUGAAUGUAAAUAAACCGGUGAAGAAAAAUAUUCAGAAAAAGCUGCUGUAUUGAUGGAGAUACGAAUUUUAUCACCUAUUGCUGAUAAAUGCACGCCAACAUAUACUACAGGGGUUGUUCGCGGUCAGAAAGAGGAGCUGGAAGGAGAAUUGCUCGUAGUGAAUGGAAUGUGUUUUUGGAGACAAUCCCUUCCGCUGCACUCUGGGGGCCAAACGAUUUUCUGCAAAUGGC
Molecule: long non-coding RNA, 768 nt
Organism: Aedes aegypti (yellow fever mosquito)
Lineage: Eukaryota; Metazoa; Arthropoda; Insecta; Diptera; Culicidae
Exons: 3
Source: RefSeq, a predicted model, not a curated record